Varanus komodoensis (Komodo dragon) is the source of this 2255-nucleotide long non-coding RNA. RefSeq lists it as uncharacterized. The record is from RefSeq and is a predicted model, not a curated record. The transcript is spliced from 6 exons. NCBI's taxonomy places the organism in Eukaryota, Metazoa, Chordata, Lepidosauria, Squamata, Varanidae.
UUUGCAGGGCAGGGUACUACUGCUUUCCCCCCCUUAUCUCGCUGUUGUUUUGUAUCGGUUGUCCUGCACCUAUUGGGAACCGGACAUCAGUCCCCGUUAAAUAAAGUGUGAAGGUUAGCGGAUGAUCGCUUCUGUCUUCCAUCCACGCUGAUUAGGGGAGAAUGGGAGUUGCAGUCCAACACGCCUAACGGGCACCAGGUUGGGUGUAAUGCUUUGAAACAGCUCCAUUGGUGGCAGGGCACAGAUGGUGUCUGGUAGACAACCUGAGAGAGGCUGACAAUGAGAUUUGAAGGCUCAGGAUAAAAAUCGCCUAGAGAAGAAAAAAGCUCUUUUAUGAAAGAUAAAAUCUAACAAAGGGCAGGGAAGUUGAGUCAAGGGGGAAAAACCAACAUGAUUCGGUGACUUCAAAAGCUCUAGAAAUAGUUCAACAGUUGUUGCUGAAUUCCUGCAAAAUCUAGCUUACGCAACAGAAUAUACAGAGGUGGCAGCUGGAAACAGAAACUAGAAGCCACGUGAUCAGCCUAAUCGCCAAAGAAUGGUGACACACUCCAAAGACUGUUGCUUUUGAAAUUAAGAAAAGCUGAACAAAUCCUAGGAUACUGCACCAUGUGAUUUCAGAAGGAAAUAUUUUCAUGGCCGUGCCAAAACAAAAGCCCUCAUUGGCAUUUGUCAGCUUCUAAUGGAUGUGAUCCAAAACCUUGCACAAGUGUGCGCAUACAUUCAGUGUGUGCACGAAGUUUCCCCCUGCUCACUGAGGACAACGGGGAACUUCCUAAGGUCUGCGUAUGCGACAUGCCAGAGGAGCAAUUUUCAGGGAUCCUUAGAGGUGCGGUUCAAACUUCAUUUCUCCCUUACUCAGAACAUCCCUCUCAAAUCCAGCCACUGAUCCAUCCAGUGCAGGAUAUUGCUCCUCAGAGUGGCCAACCAGUUGCCUUUAAGAAACCCACAAAUAGGACAAGAAAGCCACGGCUGCCUCUCACCGUUGAGCGUUCAGUGCCUCCGGCAGUGGGCCAGAGGCAAUGGAACAGCCAUCUCCAAGUGUCUGAAGGGCUGUCACAUGAACAGUGGAGCAAAUGUUUGUUGCUCCUGCUGCUGCACAGAGGAGGACUCAAUCCAAAGGGUUUGCAUGUCGGGAAAGGGAAUUUCGAGGCAGAACUCCCUGGUGGUGCAGUUUGACAGUGGAACCUCCUUUGCUAGAGGUUUUUAAACUGAGGCUGAAUGGCCACCCAUUGAGUACUAUAGCUCAUGAUUUUCUGCAUUGGCAGAACGAUAGCCUACAUCAUCAUCUAGGUCCCUUCCCGUUACAUGACUUUCUGGUCCAAGGCUCUGACCAGCAAGAAGCCACUGGAUGAUAUCAGAGUUAGAAGAAUUCUAAAGGAGGAUAAGGAGAUUGCAGAGAAACUGAAUGAAUUCUUUCAAUCUAUCUUCACUGCAGAGAGUACAGGACAGAUCCUGGCCUCAUCACAUGAAGCAGCUUGAUGGGGAAUUCAGGACAGAAGAACUUCUCCACACAGUGGAUCUUUAAACUGUGAUUUCACUUCCAGAAGAUACUGUGAUGGCCACCAAUUUGGAUGACUUAAAAUUGGACAAAUCCAUGGAGGAGCAGUGGCUUUUUGCAAUAUCUGGACCCUGCAUUGUGGUUUCCACUGUCUGGGAAUGCAAGUACCACAGAGUCCCUUGAAAAGAGUGGCAACUGCAGGAGCUCCUCCAGCCAUCCAGCCUCUACUAUCCUGCUUUGCCUCGCAACACGUGUGCCAUGGCCUCUCUCCUACACUUUUUGAGUGUCCCCUGAAAAAACAAUGACCUCCACUCUGCCUCCUUCAUUCCCUUCCUCUCAUAUAUUGUCUACAAUAUAUCUUGGGACUUUCAAAAGGCUCUGUGGCACAAACACAUUCCCAAAAGCCAACGCACAUUCCCAGGGAGCUGCAGACAAGGGCUGCCCCAGGAAAGCACACUCCUGAGAGACACUUUGCUCCAUCCCUGACUCACAUCCCUAGGCUCCCAUGGAGAGGAGGCUAACACCCAGUCUCUUUCCCCAAAGCACUGAAGCCUCCCAGUGCAGCAUGGGCUGUUACUCUGGACUGAAGAAGAACUGGGCACAUGCAUCGACCAGCCCAGGAGUCCUUGAGACCCACACACCAUGACCAGCUCUUCUCUUGGCUUUUGAAGCAGCUGAAAACAAGGAGCUUUUUGCAUGCUGCAUCCCAGUAUGAGAAUAAGCUGCAUGCAUGCAUGCAGAGGUAACUGCUGAGUUA